RNAcentral lists this ribosomal RNA (274 nucleotides) under uncultured bacterium. RNAcentral describes it as "partial 16S ribosomal RNA". It matches the Rfam family "Bacterial small subunit ribosomal RNA", at positions 523 to 796 of the family's 1533-position model. The record is from RNAcentral.
AUACGGAGGGUCCGAGCGUUAAUCGGAAUUACUGGGCGUAAAGCGUACGUAGGCGGAUGAUCAAGUUGAGGGUGAAAGCCCGGAGCUCAACUCCGGAACUGCCCUCAAAACUGAUUGUCUUGAGUUCGGGAGAGGUGAGUGGAAUUCCUAGUGUAGAGGUGAAAUUCGUAGAUAUUAGGAAGAACACCAGUGGCGAAGGCGGCUCACUGGCCCGAUACUGACGCUGAGGUGCGAAAGCGUGGGGAGCAAACAGGAUUAGAAACCCCAGUAGUCC